This 77-nucleotide transfer RNA is filed under the name Anoxybacillus flavithermus. RNAcentral's name for it is "tRNA-Met". It matches the Rfam family "tRNA". Rfam says of the family: Transfer RNA (tRNA) molecules are approximately 80 nucleotides in length. Their secondary structure includes four short double-helical elements and three loops (D, anti-codon, and T loops). RNAcentral also lists the same sequence under 18 other names. Lineage: Bacteria; Bacillati; Bacillota; Bacilli; Caryophanales; Anoxybacillaceae. The record is from RNAcentral.
GGCGGCGUAGCUCAGCUGGCUAGAGCGUACGGUUCAUACCCGUAAGGUCGGGGGUUCGAUUCCCUCCGCCGCUACCA